Molecule: ribosomal RNA, 430 nt
Filed under: uncultured bacterium
Lineage: Bacteria
Description: bacterial SSU rRNA
Rfam family: Bacterial small subunit ribosomal RNA
Source: RNAcentral
AAUCAACGCUGGCGGCGUGCCUCAGACAUGCAAGUCGAACGCGAAAGUCUCCUUCGGGGGACAAGUAGAGUGGCGCACGGGUGAGUAACACGUAGGUAAUCUACCUUCGGAUGGGGAAUAACAAUCGGAAACGGUUGCUAAUACCGCACAAUGCAGCGGCACCUAAUGGUGACAGUUGUUAAAGCGGGGGAUCGAAAGACCUCGCGUCUGAAGAGGAGCCUGCGGCGGAUUAGCUAGUUGGUAAGGUAAUAGCUUACCAAGGCGACGAUCCGUAACCGGCCUGAGAGGGCGGUCGGUCACACUGACACUGACAUACGGGUCAGACUCCUACGGGAGGCAGCAGUCGGGAAUUUUGGGCAAUGGGCGAAAGCCUGACCCAGCAACGCCGCGUGAAGGAUGAAAUCCCUCGGGAUGUAAACUUCGCAAGAAC